RNAcentral lists this long non-coding RNA (3173 nucleotides) under Mytilus galloprovincialis (Mediterranean mussel). The record is from RNAcentral. Lineage: Eukaryota; Metazoa; Mollusca; Bivalvia; Mytilida; Mytilidae.
UGACANNNNNNNNNNNNNNNNNNNNNNNNNAUGUACCUAACAGAAUGAACUAUUUUGCAAAGACUCACUCAGUGUAAGUAUAUCGAUACGGUGAAUUAAUUAACAUGAAAAAACUCUGUAAUUUCUAAAUAAUUUUACUGGACACAAGACACACGGGCACCUGGUAAUUCGUCACCUUAUUAAAGUCAAAUCGGCACCUUUUUUCACGACAUUUCUGCAAUUGAUUUUUUAACUGUCACCUAGCUGAUAUUAAAAACGGUUUUCAUCUUUAAUUUGAAAGUAAUUAUUGGUUCUUUUCUUUACUGCAGUAUAUACAGGAGGGGGAGGACAGGGGUAAGGGAGACCGGAAGAAAGGGGGUAGGAGAAAGGAGAAAGGGGUGGGAGAAAGGAGAAAGGGGUAGAAGAAAGGAGAGGAAGGCUGGGAGAAAGGAGAAAAAGUUGGAGAAAGGAGAAAAAAUAAAAUAUCUCUCCUUUUAAAUUUUUUUCUAAUAUUUUAAGAAAAAAAUAUCUCAAAAGUAGAUGUUUUAUUCUAAUGGGAGAAAGGAGAACGGGGGUAGGAGAAAGGAGAAGAGGGUGGGAGAAGGGUACCCACUGUCCUCCCCCUCAUACAGAUGAGGAUAAAAAGAGGAGAAAACAAUUAAAUUUUAUCAUUGAUUUUUUUUUUUGAUAAUCUGCCUUUCCUGAUUUUCCAGAUUUUUCAGUGGCAGAUCCAUAACUUUUUCUAGGGGGGGGGGGCGCUGACUGACCUAACGGAGGGCCUGCUCCAGUCAUGCUCCAAUGAUUCCCUAUAUAAUCAACCAAUUUUUUCCCACAAAAGGGGGGGGGGCAAAGGUGGCUUAGGUGCCCAUUUGACCAGGUUUCCAAACAUGGCAAAAUGACUAGAAUUCAGACACAGUGUUAAACAAAUUAAGAUAUAUAUACUGGCAGCUUUAUUAACUAAGCUACAUUAGAUUGUAACUUGAGUAAUUUAAAUGAUCAAUGUAGUAUGAUUGCCUAUGAGAUUACUAUCUACUAAUGUUUAUAUGAACUGGAUUUAAGCAUCUAUAUAGGACACCUUAAUACCUUUAACAAUGAACAAAGCUCAUACUGUCAGCUACACAAAAUGUAUAACAGGCCAUCAAGGCUUGACAUGACAAAAUGUAAAAUGAUUUGCCAAAAUAAAUCAAAUAUGGCAAACUGCAUCAAACAACAACUAAAUUUCAUCCGGACUUGGAACAGGCAUAAAUAGAAUGUUGUGACUGUUGUGUAACAGCACAAAAGAGGAACAAAGUGGUGAAAUCGGUUAGAAAUUGUUUUGAUUCAUUGAAUUGGUACAAAGCUAAAAAAUUCUAACAUGAAGACAAACAAUCAAAACUUAAUAGUACUUUCAGUUAUUGAAAGCUCAUUAAAAGCUAAUAAAAACUCAAACAUUAUAUAUAAACCAUGUUUUCCCGUACACAUAUAUAUAUAUGUAUAGAUGUAAUUAUCAGAGAAAUUCGUUUUACAUUUUUGUUUAACAUGUUGAAUUAUCUAUAACUGAUAUAUUUUUUAUUAAAGUUUCCAAGCAAGUCAAUACAUGCAAUAACAAAAAACUUUUGGGACAGAAGACACUUUAAAAAACGUGAUCAAAGAAAAGAAAAGGAAAUGUACUUGUAAUCGACACUGGAGAAAAAAUGGACUCAUCAGGUAAGAAGUUUUAUUCUGCAAUAACUUUUGUUUAAUAGUUAAUCUGUUUUUGAAUAAAAGAAUGUGUAAAGUAUAUUUUAGUGGGACAGCAUCCCAACAAACAAUAAAUCUGAAGAGAUAUCAAGUGGUAAAUAUUUUGCUUACUGAAAGUUAAUACCAAAUGUGCCAUGCUAUAAAUUAUCCUUCAUCUGAAGAAGGUAUGAAUAUAUGCAACAGGAAUUUUACAGAAAAAAUCUGUCCUUUAUUAUGUCCAUAUGCUAGCCACAAAUUUUUCACUGCAUUUGCAUAUCUAGUUAGGUUAGUACUUUUUCAUCUUUUUAAAAUUUUGUCUUGCAAAACAACACAUUGCAGGGAUAAAGUAUAUGCAACAAGUUUUCAUUUUAUCCAGUUUUUUUCAUGUUUGCACAUUCUCUUUCCCAUACAAUGUUUUGGUGAAGUUAAAUAAUAGUAGUUUGUACACAUGUUGCCACUUGGAAAUAUAAAUGAUAUGGAAAAUAGCAUUGUGAGCUCUCUCAAGCCUAUGUGAGUUGUAGGAUUUUAGAAAUUUUCAUCAUUUAUUCAUAAGUAGGAGGCCAAUGACUGCCUAAGAGGGCGCCCGCUCCAGUCAUGCUUCAGUGAUUCCCUAUAUAAUCAACCAAAUUUUUACAUGGCCCCACUCUAAAUCCACCUUUCCUAAGACCAGUUAAAUAAUCAGCUUUGGUCAAUUAUGCAUUGAAAUUCUGUUAAAAAGGAAGGUGUUAGACUUUUUCUAGUUUAAAAAUUAAGUGCUAAGAAACUAUUUUUACAGGAAUUAAUAGUUCCCCUUUAAAAUGGAAAGUAUAAUGAAAAUUGCAUUGUCAAUCUCAAUCCUAUUGUUCAACUUCAUGUUUGUUUUUAUAAUUUUUUUAUCAAAUUCAAAGGUUAGUUUGGCAAGCCAAAGUCAUGGAUGAGUUCAAUAAAUGUUGCAGAUUAGCUUUUUUUGCAGGAGUUAAGCUGCUUUAGAAAACUGCAUUUGUUACUUUUUUCAAGUAUAAUAACUUUUUGAUUUUGCGCAUUUUUUUCAUAAGAAUGUUCAGUAUAUAUUUGCCUUUCGUCAACUUUUAACUUUCAGUUACAUUCAGUUCUUGUGAAAUUCAACAUCUCUUAUAUAAACAUCACAAAUGUCUUUUUACUUAAUCACCUUUUUUAUGUUUACAGAAGAAAUUGUCACACGGAAAUGUAAUGGGCAAAUUAAAAAGGAGAAGUAACUCUGCUAGGAAGCAGUUCCAGUCAUUUGUAGCAACAGGACUGUGACGAAUAGAACUUUAAUAUAAACUGAAUCAAAAUAUAGAAUUUACCAAACUUGUGUCAGAUGAUACUCUCAUGCCAUUGGAGGACAUCAAUGAUGAGAAGUAAAGGAAAAGACAAUAAAUGACAGCAUAUCAAAUAUCACAAUGUAUAUUUAGUCAGUUAACACAUUAAUUCAUCUACAUACUUUACAGCAUUUCAUUUUAACCAUGUGUAAAUUUUGUCUAUUCAAGCUUAACAAA